This is a small nucleolar RNA of Acomys russatus (golden spiny mouse), 134 nucleotides long. RefSeq annotates it as small nucleolar RNA SNORA17. The record is from RefSeq and is a predicted model, not a curated record. Lineage: Eukaryota; Metazoa; Chordata; Mammalia; Rodentia; Muridae. The transcript has a single exon.
CCUGCCCCCUAGAUGUAUUGCAGGUGUGGCUGCUGUGUCACAUGUGCAUCAGCAGGUGGCAGAGAGGAGAUAGGCUAUGUCUAUGCUCAGUGUCCUGACCUAUGGAAUUUCUGAAUGACUAGAAGCCUAACAUU